RNAcentral lists this ribosomal RNA (311 nucleotides) under uncultured eukaryote. RNAcentral describes it as "partial 18S ribosomal RNA". It matches the Rfam family "Eukaryotic small subunit ribosomal RNA", at positions 1469 to 1796 of the family's 1831-position model. The record is from RNAcentral.
ACCCUUAGAUAUCCUGGGCCGCACGCGCGCUACACUGACGUAUGCAACAAGUUCCAUCCUGCCCCGAAAGGGAGUGGGUAACCUUUACAAUGUACGUCGUGCUAGGGAUAGAUCUUUGCAAUUUUGGAUCUUGAACUAGGAAUUCCUAGUAAGCAUAAGUCACCAGCUUGUGCUGAUUACGUCCCUGCCCUUUGUACACACCGCCCGUCGCUCCUACCGAUUGAGUGAUCAGGUGAACUCUUUGGACACCGCCUCCCGGUGCGUGGAAGUUGAGUAAAUCUUAUUACUUAGAGGAAGGAGAAGUCGUAACA